UUGGUUUUGGAGAGGUAGCCGUUCUGCAGGAUUUUGUUCCAGCCCUAAUCUUAACAUAGCCUUUCGCAAAUCUAAAUUAGCAAGACAGCACAAACAGAUCUGGGACCAGGCUAGCUCUAACACACUCUAAUUUACUGAUCAGCACAAACUAAUCUGGGACCAGGCUAGCUCUAACACACUCUAAUCUACUGAUCAGCACAAACUGAUCUGGGACCAGAAUAGCUCUAACACACUCUAAUCUACUGAUCAGCACAAACUAAUCUGGGACCAGGCUAGCAAAAGCCUGCCACACAGUAUCUCUUCAGGCGGCGGUUUUGACCACCUCUUGCCUUACUGUAGGACUUCCUGAAAUAGGUUUCAAGGUUUCAUACGAGUUCACAUGGGGACAUUCGUCACAUGAUGCAUUCUGAAAAUUGUACAAACAAUGCGUUAAUCCACAUCAGAUUAAAAUCCCAAAAGAUACAUUUUCGCAAAAAUGUAAUGAUCUAUUCCAGAGUAUUGAUUAUUGAGUAUUGAUUAUUGACUCUUUAGAGGGUUUAAGAACACAUUUUAAUCCGUUUUAUUAGAAUUGAUCAGACCGAAUAUUGAACAGUGACUUUGGGAUCAUGGGUAGUAUUAUCAUGAAGCACUUUUGUGUUGUGCCAAAAAAUUAAUAAA
Long non-coding RNA from Oncorhynchus tshawytscha (Chinook salmon), 657 nucleotides. The record is from Ensembl. NCBI's taxonomy places the organism in Eukaryota, Metazoa, Chordata, Actinopteri, Salmoniformes, Salmonidae.